Molecule: ribosomal RNA, 609 nt
Filed under: Coralliocaris superba
Lineage: Eukaryota; Metazoa; Arthropoda; Malacostraca; Decapoda; Palaemonidae
Description: partial 12S ribosomal RNA
Source: RNAcentral
UUGCCCACCCACUGCGGUUAGACUGGGUGGGAUUUGGAAAUUAUCGGGUGGUAGUUAUAAAAAGAGGUCCUUGGAGGUUGUAUUUGAUGAGCUUGGGGGUGAAAUCUUGAAUUUUCGUUGUAUAUUCCCCUGGGGUGCCUAGGUAUAGAAGCUAUAAAGACUUAGGUUUAAACUAGGAUUAGAUACCCUAUUAUGCUAAGUGUGUAGAGUAAGAGCACUUGAGUAGUAGUAGAUAUGUUCUUGAAAUUUAAAGGAUUUGGCGGCAUUCAAGUCUAGUUAGAGGAACCUGCUCCGUGAACGAUAUGCCACGAAGUAUCUUACUUUGCUUAGUAUGUCAGUUUGUAUACCUCCAUUAUAUAAGUAUUGUUUUUAAAUAAAUAUUAGAACAGUCGGCUAUUCUAGCGUAUUAGGUCAAGGUGCAGCCUAUAGUGAAGAGGUUGUGGGUUACAUUGUAUUUUAUAUUUCGGAUAUUGGCUUGCAAAUGGUCAUUUGAAGGUGGAUUUAAUGGUAUGCUCUUUUUAACAAGUGGGGUUGAUAGUAAGCUCUAGGGUGUGUACAAAUUGCCCGUCGCUCUCAUGAUAAGUGAGAUAAGUCGUAACAAAAGUAGGG